CUGAGUAAAUGCUGUAGCUCGUCGGCGUUCUAACCCAGAAAGACCCGCGACUACUGCGCCGCAGCAGCGGUGAUACGUCAGAUGCUACAGUAUCAUGCAGUAUUAGUGCGUAUAGAGCGCACAGCACGCUGUCUGAUGUCUCAUGAUGAAAGAUCACGGGUCUACACCUGAGGAUCACAUGCAAACUAGGGGCACUUGUGAGCAGUAGUAGAAGAGCGUAGUUUCACAUGUAGCGCUGAGAUAUGUAGUAGAUGAUGGAGGAAGCAUCACCUGUCGAAGACGGCGGCUCCGGUGUGUAAGUGACGACUGCUGACGCGAAAGAGCGUGGAGCAGCACACGAUUAGAUAUACUGGUAGUAGUACACCGUAAACGAGAAGUCGUAAGUGAGAGAGUGUCUCUGCCCCGUAGUGUCGCAAGUUACGCAUUAAGCUCUCCGCCUGGGGAAUUCGGUCGCAAGGGUGAAAAUCAAAGGAAAUGGCGGGGGGCCGCCCCAACGGUGGGGCCAGUGGUUUAAUUUGAAGCAACGGGAAGAACCUUACCAGGUUUUGACCUUCUAUGGCAAUUCUAGAGAUAGAGAGUUCCCCUUCGGGAGACAGAAUGCCAGGUGGGCCAGGGUGUUGUUCAGUUCGUGUCGUAAGAUGUGGGGUUAAUUCCCCCAACGAGCCCAACCCUUUCUUUUAGUUCCCACCAUUUAGCCGGGCACUCUAAGGAGACUGCCGGUGACAAACCGGAGGAAGGUGGGGAUGACGUCAAAUCAUCAUGCCCCUUAUGACCUGGGCUACACACGUGCUACAAUGGAUGGUACAAAGGGAAGCAAGACUCGCGAGGUCAAGCCAAUCUCAUAAAACCAUUCUCAGUUCGGAUUGUAGGCUGCAACUCGCCUACAUGAAAGUGGAAUCGCUUGUAAUUGGUGAUCAGCAAGCCGCGGGGAAUACGUUCCCGGGCCUUGUACCCCCCCCCCCUCCCCCCCCGAGGAGUGGUAACACCCGAAGUCGGUGAGUAACCGUAAGGAGGGCCCGCCUCACGGUGACCCGGG
Molecule: ribosomal RNA, 1036 nt
Filed under: Jeotgalibacillus sp.
Lineage: Bacteria; Bacillati; Bacillota; Bacilli; Caryophanales; Caryophanaceae
Description: bacterial SSU rRNA
Rfam family: Bacterial small subunit ribosomal RNA
Source: RNAcentral